UUAAUGACCUAUCCCCUGCAUCUUCUUUGCAGGGUGAUAGCCAUGUGAAAUCAUUUUCUGAGAAAGCAAAAGUAGAAAGCAAAAGGAGAAAGCCAAUGAGCUGGAAAUGCAAGUGCGGGAGAUCAUUGCAAGCAUCCAAUGCAGUCUCCUCAGAUUCCAUGGGCAUCGACCACCAGUAAAGCAAAAGCAACAAAGGUGCAAAAGCAAAAAAAAAAAGGAAAUGGCAUUAUUCCCUUGUCUGUCAUUUGCCAGAAGAAAGAAAAAUAAAGAGAAAGGAAAAGGUAAAACGUUCAGUAGGCACAAUACGCACAUGGAAAAAGAUCUGCAACAACCCAGUACGCAGUAAGUGCAGUACGCACCAACGAUCUGCAACUGUCGAAGCUUUUGUGUCGAAACCUUUGUUUUGAAUGAUGUAAUUUAUUUUUCUCAUCUCUCGCAGACAUCUGUAUAACCCAAUCAGAGGGUAAUAAAAAAAUAUAAAAAAUUAAAAAAAAAAAAAAAAAGGGCAAGCCCAAAAUAAUGGGCUGGAAUGUUAUGUGGAGGGCCAAAGCCCAUAUGCCCAAAAGAGUCAGUCUCUCUAUUAUCACUAACCAGGUGAUCAAAAGUACGU
RNAcentral lists this long non-coding RNA (610 nucleotides) under Malus domestica (apple). RNAcentral's name for it is "long non-coding RNA (MDOM_LNC011003)". The record is from RNAcentral. Lineage: Eukaryota; Viridiplantae; Streptophyta; Magnoliopsida; Rosales; Rosaceae.